UUAACUCAUAUUUGUAUGGAAUGGGAUCGUUUGCGUACGUUUGCCGCUAGGGGCGCUGUUCCAACUGCAUACAAAAUUGGGCUA
RNAcentral lists this microRNA precursor (84 nucleotides) under Bombyx mori (domestic silkworm). RNAcentral's name for it is "mir-2807 microRNA precursor family". It matches the Rfam family "mir-2807 microRNA precursor family". Lineage: Eukaryota; Metazoa; Arthropoda; Insecta; Lepidoptera; Bombycidae. The record is from Rfam by way of RNAcentral.